CAGGUGAUAUAUAUUAUUCAAACGUGUAUUCAAGGAUUAAGCAAUUAAUUUAAGAGUGAAUAGAUAAUUUAGUUCCUGAGAUUGUACCCAUUUUAUAUAUUAGUCUCUAAAUGUUAAAUUCAAAAUAGUUUCUAUCUUUGCAUAAGUGUUGCAAAAUAAUCAUUCCGUUAAAUUUUAAAAUAACGCCGUUAGUGAGGUC
RNAcentral lists this long non-coding RNA (199 nucleotides) under Glycine max (soybean). RNAcentral's name for it is "long non-coding RNA (GMAX_LNC003914)". The record is from RNAcentral. Lineage: Eukaryota; Viridiplantae; Streptophyta; Magnoliopsida; Fabales; Fabaceae.